GAUGUAGCUUAGUGGUGGAGGGCUUGCCUUGCAAGCAUAGUGCCCUGGGUUUGAACCCAGCAUC
RNAcentral lists this transfer RNA (64 nucleotides) under Urocitellus parryii (Arctic ground squirrel). RNAcentral describes it as "Spermophilus parryii (Arctic ground squirrel) tRNA". It matches the Rfam family "tRNA". Rfam says of the family: Transfer RNA (tRNA) molecules are approximately 80 nucleotides in length. RNAcentral also lists the same sequence under 1 other name. Lineage: Eukaryota; Metazoa; Chordata; Mammalia; Rodentia; Sciuridae. The record is from Rfam by way of RNAcentral.